CACGUAGGGGCCAAGCGUUGUCCGGAUUUAUUGGGCGUAAAGAGCUCGUAGGCGGUUGGGUAAGUCGGGUGUGAAAACUCCAGGCUCAACUUGGAGGCGCCACCCGAUACUGCUCUGACUUGAGUUCGGUAGGGGAGUGGGGAAUUCCUGGUGUAGCGGUGAAAUGCGCAGAUAUCAGGAGGAACACCGGUGGCGAAGGCGCCACUCUGGGCCGAAACUGACGCUGAGGAGCGAAAGCGUGGGUAGCAAACAGG
Molecule: ribosomal RNA, 254 nt
Filed under: uncultured bacterium
Lineage: Bacteria
Description: partial 16S ribosomal RNA
Rfam family: Bacterial small subunit ribosomal RNA
Source: RNAcentral